RNAcentral lists this long non-coding RNA (228 nucleotides) under Cicer arietinum (chickpea). RNAcentral's name for it is "long non-coding RNA (CARI_LNC002973)". The record is from RNAcentral. Lineage: Eukaryota; Viridiplantae; Streptophyta; Magnoliopsida; Fabales; Fabaceae.
UUAUCUGUGGUUGUGUGGAAAGGAAUUUGUUAGGGUUGAAGUGUUGAUUUGGAGGAAAAUGAAUCUAAGGCUUUAUGGGUAAAAUCUUAGAGUUAGGUUUUAGUUAUAUUGAUGAAUGUUUCGUGGAAAAUGAAUUUAAACUCAUUUAUGUAUGAUUUUGAGUAAAUGAAACUUGUUGUGUUUGAGUGGUGGAUUGUGUUGAUUUGUGUUCGUCGUAUUUGACGUGUU